UCUUGGUCUCCUCAGAGAGUCCAGGAUAUAGACCAUGCUUCGAUCAACCAUGAUAACAAGGAGUAUCCAGUGGAAGCUGAACAUAUAUGCAUAGUGAAAAGCUAUUUAGUCUUAUUUUUAACUGCUAGUUCAAAAAAUAAAAGAAAUGGGAAACAUGCUCACUUGAAGUUGUACGUCAAAAGUAUGUACAUCUUGUAAUGUUACUUGUCCAAGAAAUUUUAUAUAUUCUUCAGGGUUUGAUUUGGUUUAUCUCUUACAUUUGCCUCAUUUAUAACAUCCGGG
Molecule: long non-coding RNA, 282 nt
Filed under: Setaria viridis
Lineage: Eukaryota; Viridiplantae; Streptophyta; Magnoliopsida; Poales; Poaceae
Description: long non-coding RNA (SVIR_LNC009625)
Source: RNAcentral